GAGUGACCACUAGGGGUUCGAUGCAAUUCUACCUAAGGUAGGUGUAAGGCCCAAUUUUAGCUCGGGCCCGCAAAUAGAUAUAAACCAAUAACCAAAAAAUAAAAAAUAAAAGUCCAGUAAACUAAAAUCCAAUAAGCGGUCCAUUUACACUAGCCCAAUGCAGCCCAAAUGCCCAAUAACCCAAACAAGCCCAAAAAAAAAAAACAGAAGCAGAAAACCUUAGCAAACUUCAGCCGCCGCAACAGUAGCCCAAGCGCUCCUCUGCUCUCCCCCACACGUGCG
This 282-nucleotide long non-coding RNA is filed under the name Gossypium raimondii (Peruvian cotton). RNAcentral describes it as "long non-coding RNA (GRAI_LNC006519)". Lineage: Eukaryota; Viridiplantae; Streptophyta; Magnoliopsida; Malvales; Malvaceae. The record is from RNAcentral.